This 175-nucleotide long non-coding RNA is filed under the name Mustela putorius furo (domestic ferret). Its description in RNAcentral is "lncRNA (ENSMPUG00000028008.1)". Lineage: Eukaryota; Metazoa; Chordata; Mammalia; Carnivora; Mustelidae. The record is from RNAcentral.
GUAACACCAGCCGGCGGGCGGGGCGCGGGGGCGCCAAGACCCCAGAGCGUGGGCGGGCGGCGUCCUAAUUUACGGCACCGGGAGAGCAGAUCCGGGAAGCAGCUCUGCGCGCGCCUCUCGGAGGCGGGUUGAGCUGCAGCUCCCCUCAGACCUGCUGCCAUCACCUCCAUCAUCC